Tupaia belangeri (northern tree shrew) is the source of this 98-nucleotide small nucleolar RNA. Lineage: Eukaryota; Metazoa; Chordata; Mammalia; Scandentia; Tupaiidae. The record is from Ensembl.
AUCCUUCUGUGGUUCAUAAGCACGAGUAGGUUUUCACACCAUUACAAGAUGUGCCUCCCUCAAACCUUGUUAUGAAUUGGCACUGUACCCAUCUGAUG